CAGUCGCCACGGGAAUACGAAGGGUGCAAGCGUUAAUCGGAAUUACUGGGCGUAAAGCGCGCGUAGGUGGUUUGGUAAGAUGGAUGUGAAAUCCCCGGGCUCAACCUGGGAACUGCAUCCAUAACUGCCUGACUAGAGUACGGUAGAGGGUGGUGGAAUUUCCUGUGUAGCGGUGAAAUGCGUAGAUAUAGGAAGGAACACCAGUGGCGAAGGCGACCACCUGGACUGAUACUGACACUGAGGUGCGAAAGCGUGGGGAGCAAACAGGAUUAGAUACCCCAGUAGUCCCUGUCUCUUAUAU
This 301-nucleotide ribosomal RNA is filed under the name uncultured bacterium. RNAcentral describes it as "partial 16S ribosomal RNA". It matches the Rfam family "Bacterial small subunit ribosomal RNA", at positions 509 to 809 of the family's 1533-position model. The record is from RNAcentral.